Molecule: ribosomal RNA, 1533 nt
Filed under: Triticum aestivum (bread wheat)
Lineage: Eukaryota; Viridiplantae; Streptophyta; Magnoliopsida; Poales; Poaceae
Description: partial small subunit ribosomal RNA
Source: RNAcentral
AUGGUGAGCAGCGGCGACCCCGGAGUAUUUGGCGAGGCAGGCAUCGGGCCGAAGAUCCGCCGCGUCCACGACUGGGUUCCCAAGGGGAUGGAGUUGCGGUUUGCUUUCAUGGUGCACAUUAGAAGGGACCAGUACAUGUUCGAUGCAAAGGAUAAGAAGAAAUACCAAGGAGGUUUUGAUUAUCGGUUGCCAAUGGCUAGUAAUUGGAGUUUCAGACAAUUUGGGGAGGUAAUUUGUAGUCAAUAUCCUUGGGGUUUGCUUGAUGAAGUGGUAUACAAAUGCUAUGAUGGGGAAAAGAAUUGGUUGACAGUUAGUAAUGAUGAAGAGCUAGCUACCAUGUUUGCUAGGCAUAAAGAGAAAGAUAAUUUUCAUGUGAGGCUGCAAGUUGAUGUGCUUGAGCAGGCAUUUGGACCUAGGAUGGCGGGUGCAACAUCUCGGGGAGAACCAAGUCGUCGUAAUGGCAUCUCUAGCCAGAACAGUUCAGUUGGUGCACGGCCACGUGGUGGCUCGACAAGUGUGGGCAACAGCAGUAGGGUCCCCCUUAAAGUGGAGCCUGAUGGCUACAAUUCUGGGGUUGAUGAAGAGAAGCUAUAUUCUGAUGUUAUUCGGAAUUUACGACGGGCACCUCGGACUGAAAAUCAAGAUGAGGCUCACAAUGCAGUCCGUGUGGAUGAUGACGCGAUGGGUGAGGACGAAGACCUUGCAGCUGUUGAAUGGGACCCUUUGAACCCUCAUAUGGAAGAAGGUACAGUUUUUGCAUCCAUGAAUGAGUGUAGAAAUGCACUUGUAACAUACUGCAUCAAGGUAGAACGUACUUUCAAAGUUGACAAGAGUGAUCAAGUCAAAGUGAACCCUUUUAAGCACACAUGCCAGGAAUCAACCCUUAGGAAGGAUACAAUCAGUAGAGCCAAGUCAAGAUGGGUGGCAGAAGAAGUAAAGAAGUGGGUGAAAGAAAACCAGCAAGUGGGUCCAAAGGAAUUACAGAAGAACAUCAAAGAUAAGUUCAAGAUAGAUUUACCAUACAUGAGGUUGUUCAAUGGUAAACAACAUGCGAUGGAUUCUAUUUAUGGUAACUGGCAGGAAAGUUUUCAAUUGUUGUAUUCAUUCAAAGGUGAAGUGGAGAGGACAAGCCCAGGCUUCGAUGAAAAUGUUGGUCAGCAGCCGGUUGCCUCAACAGAUGAUGAAAAUGAUGGUCAACAACCGGUUGCAUCAGAUGAGGAUUUUGACGAGGUUCCAAAUGAUGAUGGUCAACAACCGCAUGAUUUUGAUGAUGAUCCAAAAUAUCCUCCAAAUAAUGAUUCAAGUGAGGCUCCAAAUGGUGAUCCAAGUGAGGCUCUAAAUGGUGAUCAUGGUGAUCCAAGUGAGGCUCCAAAUGAUGAUCCAAGUGAGGCUCCAAAUGGUGACCAACCUUCUGUUGUUCCCUAUGGUAGGUUUGAAGAAGACGCGCAACAUACCGACAACCAAGAGAAGAAGAGAAGAAACAAUGAGCACAAGGUGCACGAGGAGCAAAGUGAUGGCAAGAAGCUCAAGUAA